GGGAAGCGCCGCCGCCGCCGCCCCGCUCGGUCCUCCACCUGUCCGCUACGCUCGCCGGGGCCGCGGCCGCCCGAGGGACUGUGAACAUGUCCGGGAUCGCCCUCAGCAGACUCGCCCAGGAGAGGAAAGCGUGGAGGAAAGACCACCCGUUUACUCCGUGGGAAGGAGGCUUGUUUAAACUACGGAUGCUUUUCAAAGAUGAUUAUCCAUCUUCGCCACCAAAAUGUAAGUAAAUUCGAACCACCAUUAUUUCACCCGAAUGUGUA
RNAcentral lists this small RNA (266 nucleotides) under Pongo abelii (Sumatran orangutan). RNAcentral's name for it is "processed transcript". The record is from RNAcentral. Lineage: Eukaryota; Metazoa; Chordata; Mammalia; Primates; Hominidae.